AUGCGUUGUUGGGUAGGGGAGCGUUCUGUAAGCCUGCGAAGGUGUGCUGUGAGGCAUGCUGGAGGUAUCAGAAGUGCGAAUGCUGACAUAAGUAACGAUAAAGCGGGUGAAAAGCCCGCUCGCCGGAAGACCAAGGGUUCCUGUCCAACGUUAAUCGGGGCAGGGUGAGUCGACCCCUAAGGCGAGGCCGAAAGGCGUAGUCGAUGGGAAACAGGUUAAUAUUCCUGUACUUGGUGUUACUGCGAAGGGGGGACGGAGAAGGCUAUGUUGGCCGGGCGACGGUUGUCCCGGUUUAAGCGUGUAGGCUGGUUUUCCAGGCAAAUCCGGAAAAUCAAGGCUGAGGCGUGAUGACGAGGCACUACGGUGCUGAAGCAACAAAUGCCCUGCUUCCAGGAAAAGCCUCUAAGCAUCAGGUAACAUCAAAUCGUACCCCAAACCGACACAGGUGGUCAGGUAGAGAAUACCAAGGCGCUUGAGAGAACUCGGGUGAAGGAACUAGGCAAAAUGGUGCCGUAACUUCGGGAGAAGGCACGCUGAUAUGUAGGUGAAGUCCCUUGCGGAUGGAGCUGAAAUCAGUCGAAGAUACCAGCUGGCUGCAACUGUUUAUUAAAAACACAGCACUGUGCAAACACGAAAGUGGACGUAUACGGUGUGACGCCUGCCCGGUG
RNAcentral lists this ribosomal RNA (668 nucleotides) under Escherichia coli. RNAcentral's name for it is "partial 23S ribosomal RNA". It matches the Rfam family "Bacterial large subunit ribosomal RNA", at positions 1216 to 1868 of the family's 2925-position model. Lineage: Bacteria; Pseudomonadati; Pseudomonadota; Gammaproteobacteria; Enterobacterales; Enterobacteriaceae. The record is from RNAcentral.